AACUAUGCAAUGAAGAAGACAAUAGUCAAUAUAUAUUAUAUAAGCGAGCUAGGGAUGGUGAGAGCCUGGUAUAAUGAAUUGAUGAAGGGCACUUCUGAGCAUAUAUUAUGAGAGAAUACCUUUUAAAGGUAUUAAGUAGGGUGGAACCGCGGAAGUUACCUUUCGUCCCUAUA
RNAcentral lists this non-coding RNA (173 nucleotides) under Sporanaerobacter acetigenes. RNAcentral's name for it is "T-box sequence". It matches the Rfam family "T-box leader". Rfam says of the family: Uncharged tRNA acts as the effector for transcription antitermination of genes in the T-box leader family. Lineage: Bacteria; Bacillati; Bacillota; Tissierellia; Tissierellales; Sporanaerobacteraceae. The record is from RNAcentral.